This 114-nucleotide ribosomal RNA is filed under the name uncultured bacterium. RNAcentral's name for it is "partial 16S ribosomal RNA". It matches the Rfam family "Bacterial small subunit ribosomal RNA", at positions 1360 to 1482 of the family's 1533-position model. The record is from RNAcentral.
CGGUGAAUACGUUCCCGGACCUUGCACACACCACCCGUCAAGCCAUGGAAGCUGGGUGUACCUAAAGUCGGUAACCGUAAGGAGCCGCCUAGGGUAAAACUAGUGACUGGGGCU